Molecule: long non-coding RNA, 486 nt
Organism: Asparagus officinalis (garden asparagus)
Lineage: Eukaryota; Viridiplantae; Streptophyta; Magnoliopsida; Asparagales; Asparagaceae
Exons: 3
Source: RefSeq, a predicted model, not a curated record
UUCCUAAUUAAAUCCAACUGAUCGCAAGUCAAAAAUUCCCCCUUUUCUCUCGUCACACCAAAAACCCUAACUCUAAAUCUCGAAAAAUCCCUUUAAAUCUUUCAUAAAUCCUUUCCAUUCUGCUACUAUAUCCACUCUCCUCGUUACGACGAUCAUCACGAUCUUUUUCUGGAAGAAUUUCGUGGAGUAUACAGAACUGAUUUGAAUUAGAAAUGGGGAUCCUGUCUUGCCUUCGAUCAGAGCUUAGGGUUUUAUGUUUGGAUGGAUUCUCGAUUAUUUCCCCCUUAAUUAGCUGAAACUGUUCUAGUGGACGAGGGAGCAGCUGGAUUAGCGUUUUGUUUCUUUUUUCUUUUUGUUUUUUUGGCAGAUUACCGCAUAACAAGUAAUUCUGUGGCUGAAUCCAUCGUCAGAUCUUCAAGGUUGUAGUGCCGUGGCAUUAAUUUCAGUUGGAGAAAGGACAUCCUAUUUGCGAAGAUCCAAGGUUUG